CUCUCGGUGGCCAAGCUGGCUAAGGCGCGAGACUGUAAUGGAUUUUGUAAUCUUGAGAUCGGGUGUUCGACUCACCCCCGGGAGA
Molecule: transfer RNA, 85 nt
Filed under: Sungouiella intermedia
Lineage: Eukaryota; Fungi; Ascomycota; Pichiomycetes; Serinales; Metschnikowiaceae
Description: Candida intermedia tRNA
Rfam family: tRNA
About the family: Transfer RNA (tRNA) molecules are approximately 80 nucleotides in length.
Source: Rfam by way of RNAcentral